UGUUGAGAACGCGGGGAGCUAAUAACACGUUAUAGGAUGAGUACGGUAUUCUAAAUUGUGAACGAGUGUAAUUCUGUGAGACAGUGCAGUUCGUAAUGUGUGUGCGGUGAGAACCUCAUAUUCAACCCCAUUAAACGAUGGUAAAAUGGAUACGCGUGUAAGAUUGUGUUUCACAUAAUGGGAUAUGCAUUUUAAUGAUUGUGACGGUUGUGUGUUUUGCGAAUGUGAAUUAGGAAAAGCAGAUUAAAGCUCGAGAAGAAUUGUGAACUGUCAGUGUAAAAGAGCAAUGGCAUCAUCAGAGAGACUGGAUUUUGCUUUGAAGCUUUCGAAAAAAAUAUAUAUAUCUCAUCUGCAACACGAAGGGGAAUGAGCCAGAAGAAUGCAGCACCAUCUAUAUUCAUCUUUGUGACGAGAAUGAGGUCGAAUCAAUGAGGCAACUCUGUGGAGAAGGAAGAAAGAAGCAAGUCUCAGAACAACAAGAACAACAACUUUGUUGUUACCUGUGAUAUUGGAGACUCUUGGCAUGGUAUCAAGUAUAGUAGCCUGAAUUUGAAAACAGGUCGAGAUUAGAUAGCUUCUGUGUUCAAAGAUAUCCUUAAGAGGCCUUGAACUGGCCUUAUCUUAUCCACGUGUUAGCAGAACUUUGAGAGUGUUUGAUAUUAAAGGAACACAAGUGUUUGUCCUCUACAUGCGUAACAAUUAUGGCGAACUCUGCAGCGUCUUUGUCUGCACGACAGAAGCUUAAUGGAUGUUCGUCAGACACUAUUGUUCUGACACUGAACCGAAUAACAGCACUAGAUUGUGACAAAUUAGUGAUGGUUAGUUAUUUGUGUUUAAUUCAUCACUGGAUUUUUGGUUUGUGAAAAACUGGUUAUUGUGGGAAGCGUCUUGAUAAACAUUUUUGUGUUAAACAGUUGCCUAUAAGAUUAGAGCAUACGGUGUUUUAUAAUAGACAAACUUUAAAGUAUAUUUUUCUUUCAAGUUCGAGCCUGUAUUUUAUGAAUGAUUUGUGAAAAGUAUCAGACUUAUCUCAUUAACGAGGUUUGUCGUUCCAUUGAUUUGUGUCUCCAUUAUCGAAAAAAACUGAAAAUUCUUAAACUUUCAUUCAUUGAUAGCUGAAUAGAUUUUUAGAUGAGGUAUCGAAAUCGGUGCUCUAGAUCCAAAGAGAGUAUUUGGAUAA
Molecule: long non-coding RNA, 1180 nt
Organism: Cryptotermes secundus
Lineage: Eukaryota; Metazoa; Arthropoda; Insecta; Blattodea; Kalotermitidae
Exons: 3
Source: RefSeq, a predicted model, not a curated record